This 327-nucleotide unclassified non-coding RNA is filed under the name soil metagenome. RNAcentral's name for it is "partial contains 5.8S ribosomal RNA, internal transcribed spacer 2, and large subunit ribosomal RNA". The stretch from base 1 to 120 matches the Rfam family "5.8S ribosomal RNA", at positions 35 to 154 of the family's 154-position model. The record is from RNAcentral.
GAUGAAGAACGUAGCGAAAUGCGAUAAGUAAUGUGAAUUGCAGAAUUCAGUGAAUCAUCGAAUCUUUGAACGCACAUUGCGCCCCUUGGUAUUCCGAGGGGCAUGCCUGUUCGAGCGUCAUUAUAACCCCUCAAGCUCAGCUUGGUGUUGGGGCCUGCUGCACUGGCAGCCCUUAAAAUCAGUGGCGGCGCCAUCUGGCUCUAAGCGUAGUAAUUCUUCUCGCUAUGGAGUCCUGGUGGAUGCUUGCCAUCAACCCCCAAUUUUUCUAUGGUUGACCUCGGAUCAGGUAGGGAUACCCGCUGAACUUAAGCAUAUCUAAGCGGAGGA